GACGAACGCUGGCGGCGUGCUUAACACAUGCAAGUCGAACGGAAAGGCCCUGCUUUUGUGUGGUGCUCGAGUGGCGAACGGGUGAGUACCACGUGAGUAACCUGCCCUUGACUUUGGGAUAACUUCAGGAAACUGGGGCUAAUACCGGAUAGGAGCUCCUGCUGCAUGGUGGGGGUUGGAAAGUUUCGGCGGUUGGGGAUGGACUCGCGGCUUAUCAGCUUGUUGGUGGGGUAGUGGCUUACCAAGGCUUUGACGGGUAGCCGGCCUGAGAGGGUGACCGGCCACAUUGGGACUGAGAUAGGGCCCAGACUCCUACGGGAGGCAGCAGUGGGGAAUAUUGCACAAUGGGCGGAAGCCUGAUGCAGCAACGCCGCGUGCGGGAUGACGGCCUUCGGGUUGUAAACCGCUUUCGCCUGUGACGAAGCGUGAGUGACGGUAAUGUGUAAAGAAGCACCGGCUAACUACGUG
RNAcentral lists this ribosomal RNA (468 nucleotides) under uncultured bacterium. RNAcentral describes it as "partial 16S ribosomal RNA". It matches the Rfam family "Bacterial small subunit ribosomal RNA", at positions 28 to 507 of the family's 1533-position model. The record is from RNAcentral.